UACGGAAGGCAGCAGUGGGGAAUAUUGCACAAUGGGCGAAAGCCUGAUGCAGCUAUGCCGCGUGUAUGAAGAAGGCCUUAGGGUUGUAAAGUACUUUCAUCGGGGAGGAAAAACAAAACUAAUAAUUUUAUUUCUUGACGUUACCCGAAAAAGAAGCACCGGCUAACUCCGUGCCAGCAGCCGCGGUAAUACGGAGGGUGCUAGCGUUAAUCAGAAUUACUGGGCGUAAAGAGCACGUAGGUGGUUUUUUUAAGUCAGAUGUGAAAUCCCUGGGCUUAACCUAGGAACUGCAUUUUGAAACUGAAAUACUAGAGUAUCGUAGAGGGAGGUAGAAUUCUAGGUGUAGCGGUGAAAUGCGUAGAUAUCUGGAGGAAUACCUGUGGCGAAAGCGGCCUCCUAAACGAAUACUGACACUGAGGUGCGAAAGCGUGGGGAGCGAAACGAGGGAUUAGACUA
This 456-nucleotide ribosomal RNA is filed under the name uncultured bacterium. RNAcentral's name for it is "bacterial SSU rRNA". It matches the Rfam family "Bacterial small subunit ribosomal RNA", at positions 340 to 785 of the family's 1533-position model. The record is from RNAcentral.